UACGUAGGUGGCAAGCGUUGUCCGGAUUUACUGGGCGUAAAGAGCGCGCAGGCGGUCGUUCAAGUCGCGUGUGAAAGCCCCCGGCUCAACUGGGGAGGGUCACGCGAUACUGAUCGACUCGAAGGCAGGAGAGGGUAGUGGAAUUCCCGGUGUAGUGGUGAAAUGCGUAGAUAUGGGGAGGAACACCGGUGGCGAAGGCGGCCAUCUGGACGGCUAUUGACGCUGAGACGCGAAAGCGUGGGGAGCAAACAGG
This 253-nucleotide ribosomal RNA is filed under the name uncultured bacterium. RNAcentral describes it as "partial 16S ribosomal RNA". It matches the Rfam family "Bacterial small subunit ribosomal RNA", at positions 524 to 776 of the family's 1533-position model. The record is from RNAcentral.